AACGAACGCUGGCGGCAUGCCUAACACAUGCAAGUCGAACGAGACCUUCGGGUCUAGUGGCGCACGGGUGCGUAACGCGUGGGAACCUGCCCUUAGGUUCGGAAUAACUCCCCGAAAGGGGUGCUAAUACCGGAUAAUGUCUUCGGACCAAAGAUUUAUCGCCUUUGGAUGGGCCCGCGUUGGAUUAGCUAGUUGGUAGGGUAAAAGCCUACCAAGGCGACGAUCCAUAGCUGGUCUGAGAGGAUGAUCAGCCACACUGGGACUGAGACACGGCCCAGACCCCUACGGGAGGCAGGAGUGGGGAAUAUUGGAACAUGGGCCAAAGGCUGAUCCAGCAAUGCCGCGUGAGUUAUGAAGGCCUUAGGGUUGUAAAGCUCUUUUACCCGGGAUGAUAAUGACAGUACCGGGAGAAUAAGCUCCGGCUAACUCCGUG
RNAcentral lists this ribosomal RNA (433 nucleotides) under uncultured bacterium. RNAcentral's name for it is "partial 16S ribosomal RNA". It matches the Rfam family "Bacterial small subunit ribosomal RNA", at positions 29 to 507 of the family's 1533-position model. The record is from RNAcentral.